CAGUCGCCGCGGUAAUACGGAGGGAGCUAGCGUUAUUCGGGAUUACUGGGCGUAAAGCGCACGUAGGCGGCUUUGUAAGUAAGAGGUGAAAGCCUGGUGCUCAACACCAGAACUGCCUUUUAGACUGCAUCGCUUGAAUCAUGGAGAGGUCAGUGGAAUUCCGAGUGUAGAGGUGAAAUUCGUAGAUAUUCGGAAGAACACCAGUGGCGAAGGCGGCUGACUGGACAUGUAUUGACGCUGAGGUGCGAAAGCGUGGGGAGCAAACAGGAUUAGAUACCCCAGUAGUCCCUGUCUCUUAUAC
This 301-nucleotide ribosomal RNA is filed under the name uncultured bacterium. RNAcentral describes it as "partial 16S ribosomal RNA". It matches the Rfam family "Bacterial small subunit ribosomal RNA", at positions 509 to 807 of the family's 1533-position model. The record is from RNAcentral.